This 460-nucleotide ribosomal RNA is filed under the name uncultured bacterium. RNAcentral's name for it is "partial 16S ribosomal RNA". It matches the Rfam family "Bacterial small subunit ribosomal RNA", at positions 338 to 795 of the family's 1533-position model. The record is from RNAcentral.
CCUACGGGAGGCAGCAGUGAGGAAUAUUGGUCAAUGGACGAGAGUCUGAACCAGCCAAGUAGCGUGCAGGAUGACUGCCCUAUGGGUUGUAAACUUCUUUUAUAAAGGAAUAAAACGAGGCACGUGUGCCUCUUUGCAUGUACUUUAUGAAUAAGGAUCGGCUAACUCCGUGCCAGCAGCCGCGGUAAUACGGAGGAUCCGAGCGUUAUCCGGAUUUAUUGGGUUUAAAGGGAGCGUAGAUGGGUUGUUAAGUCAGUUGUGAAAGUUUGCGGCUCAACCGUAAAAUUGCAAUUGAUACUGGCAGUCUUGAGUACAGUUGAGGUAGGCGGAAUUCGUGGUGUAGCGGUGAAAUGCUUAGAUAUCACGAAGAACCCCGAUUGCGAAGGCAGCUUACUAAACUGUGACUGACAUUGAUGCUCGAAAGUGUGGGUAUCAAACAGGAUUAGAUACCCUUGUAGUC